RNAcentral lists this long non-coding RNA (381 nucleotides) under Lactuca sativa (garden lettuce). RNAcentral describes it as "long non-coding RNA (LSAT_LNC008753)". The record is from RNAcentral. Lineage: Eukaryota; Viridiplantae; Streptophyta; Magnoliopsida; Asterales; Asteraceae.
CGGGUUUUGAUUUGUCGACGUGAAAGAAAGGGUGAAGGACAAACCGAUGUUAUUACUAAGGUGGGCGAUGGGUUGCUUUCUCCCCCGAUUUCUAGGGUACGUAUGUCCAAAGUAUUGGUUCCUUUGUGUAUUGAGUCGAUUUUGUUUUUCAAGUGUCAGUUGGGUCCAAUUUCUUUCUAGGGUACCGUUCGAUUGGGAUAUGGGAGCAGCACAAGCGAUGAAGAGUAUCUCCUUCCUAAUUGCAUUACCGUUGUCGGUGUUCUCUAGGUAGUUCCUUUUUUAUCAUUACGCCAAGCUUUAAACGAUUCAUUGAUUGAUAAUGUCAACAAAAUUUAUGUUUUCGUUGUUUCAUGUAGAAUGCAUUUCACAAGUUCAUCGGUC